This 662-nucleotide long non-coding RNA is filed under the name Mytilus galloprovincialis (Mediterranean mussel). The record is from RNAcentral. Lineage: Eukaryota; Metazoa; Mollusca; Bivalvia; Mytilida; Mytilidae.
UUGUUCACACAUCGUUAUGAUGGAAUUUGAUGCGACUGUCAUACACGUUAGAGGUUUGUCUAGCUUUAAACCCAGAUGUUAUCCAACAUGUUCCACAUAAGAUCACGCCUGUACUAUAUCAGGAAUAUGACUGUUAUUGUCCAUUCGUUUUAUGUGUUUAAGUAUUCGAUUAUGCCAUUUGAUAAGGGACUUUCCUUUCUGAAUUUUCCUCGGAGUUAUAAAAUCACAAUAAUACUGAACUCAGAGGAAACUCAAAUCGAAAAGUCCACAAUCACAUGACAAAUUUAAAUGACAAAACACUUCAAGAACAGUCAUAUUCCUGACUUGGUACAAGUAUUUUCAAAUGUAGAAAAUGGUGGAUUAAACCUGGUUUUAUAGCGCUAAACUUCUCACUUUGUACAACAGUCUUGUCAUAUGACGUUAUAUUAACAAUGAGGAGUGAACUAAACAGACAUAAUAAAUAAAAUAGUCAAAUUGUGGGUACAGCAGUCAUCAGCAUGUUACAAUUUUAAAAGAAACAAUUUGACAGAACACAAAAUCAUUUAUCAAAUUUAAAACACACUCAUUGCUUCGCGAGUCUGAGGUCAGAAAAUGGAUUCGUCACAUAUUUUUGUCGUUCAAUGUUUAUACAAACAAUUUUUAAAUUUCACAUUGGCAAUGUU